ACAGUAUUUUUCCCAUAAAUACUGACAGGAAAUAGCUGUAACCAAAGUUUACAAAUCCGACUGUUGUAUGUGACAUGCAAUUUGGUUGUGAUGUCUUGAAUUUCUUGGCUCAGUCCUUGUUAACAUUUAACAGGCAAUGUUGAGUGUGUGCCGAGACACCAUAAGCCUCCAUAUUAUCUAAAUAAUAUUUUAUCGAGAUAGAAUUAAAUACAGAUAAACACUGUAAAUCGAAGCAACAGGGUGUCUGUAAAUGUUGCAUUUUUUCUUCGUUGCUAAGCGGUUGUCUUCAAUAUUAUUCUUCAUUAAAUACUUGGAAUGUAAUACUUAUUCAUUGCUGUUAUACCAAUAGCCUUAAAAACAUACUUUAAAUGUUUUUUUUUUUUUCUAUAUUAUUUGUCAUGUGCAUUGUUUAUUGCGACACGUGGCACUGUUACUGAAAACUUGUCAUGUAGCGCCUUUGUAUGUCGAUGUGCAUUUAUCGUAUACAAAUAUUUUCACUUAAAGUGAUGAUGAAAAUUAUUCAUAAUGAAAUGAAAAGCUCAAACGUUCUAUAUAAUAUUUCGGUGACGCAAGGUUACUUCGACCUAGUAACUUCAGUAACCAGAAGAUGGAAUAUUCUACUCUGGGGAGACAUGCAAGGUAAGAAAUAUAUUUUGUUAUCUCAGUUCAAACAUUUAGUAGUAUGAAAUUUUGAGGAAGUAUGAUGAGAAAAAUAAUAAAAGCAUAGGAGUAGUUACAUGCACAUCGAGAUUUCCAACUGUUGAACCACCAAUUUUUCUGUUUAUGAAUACGAGGUGCCUGCCAAAUGCCAGUACGAGACCAGUAGCUACACCUUUUUUAUCCUGCACUGAGUGAGACCCAGGCCUGUACUUUCAUCAAGCUUGAUACUGUCAGCUUACUGCACUUCUGGGACACUAGAGGCUAAGUUGACGCUGUUGUUAAGACUGAACUAUACAGCCUCAACAAAAACAUCACCAAGGGCACAGCUAGCCAGUAUUCUACCUACCUACCUCCUAAGGUCCUAAGGCCUAAAGGCCUUCCAUCCAACAACAUUCCUGGUCUCCUCUCUCGCAUGUAAGUGACAAUUCAAUGGUUGGUUAAUCUCAGCUUGUAAGCCAUGUCAUUAUUAAGUGUGUUUAUUUGUGCAUGAUGUAUACAUUUUUUUUACCUACCUAAUAUAAAUUAUGUUUAUGCAGGAAGUCAUUGGUAAAUUAAAUAAUUAACUAAACUCAUCUGCACUCUUAGUUUGGUUAGUUUGAUUAUAUACCUAUGUUAAAUUAUGCUGGUUUGGCUUGGUUAGGUUAGUUAGGUCAGUCUAAUUUGGUUUGGUUUGGUUAUGAUGGUUAGUUUCAUUAGUUUGUUAGGUUGAUUACCUAGGUUAAGUGGUAAUCUGUUACAUCCGGCUGGUGGGCACAGAUGAGUGGAAGACUGAUGAAUGAGUGAAAAUGUAGUGGAGUUUGUUCCAUGAGUCCACUACCACUUUUAGAAAAAAAGUAUGUUUCUUAAGUGUUGUCAUAAUCUCUGAAUACCUGAAGGGCAAGCACAGUUAAGUACUAAUGAUUUUUUAGUAAUUACUUUUGUGUCAUGGAUUCAGAGUCUUCAUGUCCUCUCUGUAAUCAUGUAUCAAGGUCAGUGAAAAAUUGUGUAAAUUAUUGCCUGUUGCAUUUAAAUCAAUACAGAAGAGUUAUCAAAUGCCCAUUAAGGGAUUCCAAAUGGACACUUUCAUCAUAUGCAGGGCUAAAGGCUCAUAUAUACCAAGACCAUCAAGAACGUAGGUCAAAAAGUGAUGAAAAAUUGUUGAUCUUAAGUCUCCAUUUGAAAUUACAGUGUAAAACUCUUUUGUGCCAACAAGUUUAUGAUAAAAAUGAAGGAUUUAUUAAAGCAUUUGAGACAGCACAUUGAUGAUGGCACCAGGAUUCAGUGCCCCUUUAAUCAGUGCUCCAAAAUGUUCUCAAAGACAACCACAUUUAAAUCACACUUAAGUAGGCAUCACACAUAUCAAACAGUUAAGGACUUGCCAACUGAAAUGGUCUACUCAUCAAAUUCAGACCUCUGUGAUGACUUGUCACCAAGUUAGGAGGUAUCCAGUACAACAAGAAAUGACAUUUAUGACUUGGAAGGGACUAGCUUAUCAUUUAUAUACAUAUGUAACCAAAGGAGGUGUAAUAUUACAACCAGGAGCAGUGUAAAUAAUUGUAAUUUUCUUAUCAUUUUACCUUUGAUAAAGUUAUUAAUUGGUUCCUUUGUGCUUAAUAAACAGGAAGGGGAUGUGUGGGUAUUUGUUAUAAAAAUUAUGAGAGAGAAGUAUCUUGUGGUCCAUAAAAAUUAUGUUAUCAUUAUUAUUACCUGGUCUUUUGUGGGAAAAGCUUUAGGAAGAGGAGGUAAAAUAUCUACUGCAGUUCUGCCACAAGCAUUGAUUGGUGAGAAAGGGGUGAAGAUGCUAGAGACAAGUCAUGAAAUCCUGACCAGGUGGCUAUGUUAUUUUUAUUUAUUUAUUUAUUUUUAAUACUUUCAGGAGAAUCAAGGUUUACUACAACAAGAUAUAUGCUGUCAAUUCAUGGUGUUGUUGUCACUGAGCAUAUUGCCACAUUUACCACUGGCCUAGCUAUGCUGUUGGCCUCCUAUUACAACUUUAAUAUAAGGUACCCCAUGGAUUCUGCAUCAACACUCGAGUUCAUUCAAAGAUGUUUUGCUGGUAUCAAUCCCAAAUGGGGGAGCAAGAUAGAAGUAAAAAAAAAACAUUGCAAAAGGCACUCUGAAGUCCAUCCGAAGGUCCUGUCCCUGAUUAAUGGUAUUGCUGAUGUAGACUGGAGGAGCUAAAUCCCACCAGAUGCUGUCAGCCACUAGAGGGGAGGAAACUAGAAUUGUGAUACACAAGUGGAUGAAACUUCUCUUCCAGUCUUGGUGUUGUACUUAAAUAAUGCUCUUUUUUUAAUGAUGUGUCAAUGACAAUUAUAAUGGUGA
Long non-coding RNA from Scylla paramamosain (green mud crab), 2964 nucleotides. RefSeq lists it as uncharacterized. The record is from RefSeq and is a predicted model, not a curated record. NCBI's taxonomy places the organism in Eukaryota, Metazoa, Arthropoda, Malacostraca, Decapoda, Portunidae. The transcript is spliced from 3 exons.